This 253-nucleotide ribosomal RNA is filed under the name uncultured bacterium. Its description in RNAcentral is "partial 16S ribosomal RNA". It matches the Rfam family "Bacterial small subunit ribosomal RNA", at positions 524 to 776 of the family's 1533-position model. The record is from RNAcentral.
UACGAAGGGUGCAAGCGUUACUCGGAAUUACUGGGCGUAAAGCGUGCGUAGGUGGUUCGUUAAGUCUGUCGUGAAAUCCCCGGGCUCAACCCGGGAACUGCGCCUGAUACUGGAGGGCUUGAAUCCGGGAGAGGGAUGUGGAAUUCCAGGUGUAGCGGUGAAAUGCGUAGAUAUCUGGAGGAACACCGGUGGCGAAGGCGGCAUCCUGGACCAGUAUUGACGCUGAGGCGCGAAAGCCAGGGGAGCAAACGGG